UACGUAGGGACCAAGCGUUGUCCGGAAUUAUUGGGCGUAAAGAGCUCGUAGGCGGUUUGUCGCGUCGGCUGUGAAAACCUGAGGCUCAACCUCAGGCCUGCAGUCGAUACGGGCAGACUAGAGUCCGGCAGGGGAGACUGGAAUUCCUGGUGUAGCGGUGAAAUGCGCAGAUAUCAGGAGGAACACCGAUGGCGAAGGCAGGUCUCUGGGCAUUAACUGACGCUGAGGAGCGAAAGCAUGGGGAGCGAACAGG
RNAcentral lists this ribosomal RNA (253 nucleotides) under uncultured bacterium. Its description in RNAcentral is "partial 16S ribosomal RNA". It matches the Rfam family "Bacterial small subunit ribosomal RNA", at positions 524 to 776 of the family's 1533-position model. The record is from RNAcentral.